UACAGAGGUCUCAAGCGUUGUUCGGAUUCAUUGGGCGUAAAGGGUGCGUAGGCGGCGCGGUAAGUCGGGUGUGAAAUCUUGGAGCUUAACUCCGAAACUGCAUUCGAUACUGCCGUGCUUGAGUCCGGGAGGGGAGAGCGGAACUCCUAGUGUAGCGGUGAAAUGCGCAGAUAUUAGGAAGAACACCGGUGGCGAAGGCGGCUCUCUGGACCAGCACUGACACUGAAGCACGAAAGCGUGGGGAGCAAACAGG
RNAcentral lists this ribosomal RNA (253 nucleotides) under uncultured bacterium. RNAcentral's name for it is "partial 16S ribosomal RNA". It matches the Rfam family "Bacterial small subunit ribosomal RNA", at positions 524 to 776 of the family's 1533-position model. The record is from RNAcentral.